AACACCUGAGCUGAACGCGUUCGGGUAAGCUGCGGGAAAAACGAAGCCCGUCCUCCAAAGAAGGCUACAGUUUAGAAGGCACUUUUGUCAAACUUGACCAGUGGAUAGUCAACCAGCAAGAGAGUGUUUCAACAACAGCACAAGUCUUCAGUAUUGGGCAACGCGACAUGAAUGUAUCAAUCCGAGGGUAUAACAGCGGAAAGUGACAACAGGAACAACGGAAUGUGACUUCCCUGACACUUCACCUGGCCCAGACAAUUCCAAGGGCGAUGACAUCACCUAACCUUUUGCCUAUUUAGUAACUCUAAUGACGACCAUCGCCACGUCGUGCGGUAUAUCUCCAGAGGGUCACAUCCCAAUCUGCCGAAUCCCAGUUCGCCGAAUGCAGUUAGGCGGAUUCUCUGUGAGGGGAAGGUCAACCCCUUUCGGCCAGCUGGGAAAGGACACUUGAACUUUUCGACGGGUUGGGUAUGGCGGAAAAUGACCUAAAUAGGAAAGGGGCGAGAGCGGACAUCUUGCAAGAUGAGGAAAUAUCAAAUGGCUCCUGCUGAAUCAUCUCCGUUUUUUUUCUUUUACCAGUCAAUCAAUCAAUCAACCAUCACUCAGUGAAAUAUAUAGCCGAAGAACUAUAAAUGAUGUUGAAAAAUGACACACGUACAUGGCACAUUGCAGCUAGCUGGCUAUAAAACGAUGCAACAGCAUAU
Ornithodoros turicata is the source of this 704-nucleotide long non-coding RNA. RefSeq lists it as uncharacterized. The transcript has 2 exons. NCBI's taxonomy places the organism in Eukaryota, Metazoa, Arthropoda, Arachnida, Ixodida, Argasidae. The record is from RefSeq and is a predicted model, not a curated record.